RNAcentral lists this long non-coding RNA (334 nucleotides) under Mytilus galloprovincialis (Mediterranean mussel). The record is from RNAcentral. Lineage: Eukaryota; Metazoa; Mollusca; Bivalvia; Mytilida; Mytilidae.
UGCGGUGAAUACUAAUGUCUAUCGAUGUCUAAGUAUAAGUCCAAGAGUAAGUCCUAGAGUGAGUUUAACUUUAGUGUCUGUAUAUAUAUAUAUAUAUAUUUGUCAUGGAAGAUUCUAGAACAGUCUAUAAUGGAACAUCCUAGAAAGUUACAACAGAAGUUUCUAGUAAAAUGUAGAAGUUUAUAUAAUGCAUCUUUUAUUAGGAUCAUUCUGGAAAGUUCCAAUCAUUCUGUAUUUGUUCCAGAGAUUUCUAAACUGCACAAUUCUAAAAUUAUUCUGUAAACAACUAUCAGGCCACACAAUACAAAUCAGGCCAACAUAAAUAAAUACAAUA